AGAGUUUGAUCCUGGCUCAGGACGAACGCUGGCGGCGUGCUUAACACAUGCAAGUCACGGGGGCUCGCAAGGGCAACCGGCGAACGGGUGCGUAACACGUGAGCAAUCUGCCGAUUUGAGGGGGAUAGCCGGCCCAACGGCCGGGUAAUACCGCAUACGCUUCUUGGGGGGAGUCCCCUGGGAAGGAAACCUCCGGGGCAAAUCGAGGAGCUCGCGGCCUAUCAGCUAGUUGGCGGGGUAACGGCCCACCAAGGCGACGACGGGUAGCUGGUCUGAGAGGAUGGCCAGCCACAUUGGGACUGAGAGACGGCCCAGACUCCUACGGGAGGCAGCAGUGGGGAAUCUUGCGCAAUGGCCGAAAGGCUGACGCAGCGACGCCGCAUGUGGGAUGAAGCAUUUCGGUGUGUAAACCACUGUUGCCCGGGACGAACAGCUUCUUUCGAGGAGCCUGACGGUACCGGGUGAGGAAGCACCGGCUAACUCCGUGCCAGCAGCCGCGGUAAUACGGACGGUGCGAGCGUUGUCCGGAAUCACUGGGCGUAAAGGGCGCGUAGGCUGCGCGAGUAGUCAACGGUGAAAGCCCGGGGCUCAACCCCGGGUCGGCCGUCGAUACUCUCGUGCUUGAGCACUGUACAGGCAGGUGGAAUUCCGGGUGUAGCGGUGGAAUGCGUACAGAUCCUGAAGAACACCGGUGGCCAAAGCGGCCUGCUACGCAGUAGCUGACGCUGAGGCGCGACAGCGUGAGGAGCAAACGGGAUUAGAUACCCUGGUAAUCCA
Molecule: ribosomal RNA, 777 nt
Filed under: uncultured bacterium
Lineage: Bacteria
Description: bacterial SSU rRNA
Rfam family: Bacterial small subunit ribosomal RNA
Source: RNAcentral